This 1241-nucleotide unclassified non-coding RNA is filed under the name Leishmania donovani. RNAcentral's name for it is "gene:unknown". The record is from RNAcentral. Lineage: Eukaryota; Euglenozoa; Kinetoplastea; Trypanosomatida; Trypanosomatidae.
ACGUGCACAGCCGAAUCGCAUCCUCCUCACUCGCCCUAAGCUCCCCUCCUCUUCGCUCUUUCUCUCCACUGCGCACGUAUCCCCACACCCUUGUUUCCUUCUCUCACGUACACGGCUGCUUCUCUCGUGCUCUUCUUCUCGAAGUGACAUGUUGGCAAGUCGAGCAGCAACUGCUCUCCUCGCUCGCAAAACGUCAGCUCUCCACACCGGGGGGGGGAGGCGGGCCGCCGACUCUGCCCCUGCAACACCGGAGGUGCCGGCGCGGUGCACCACAUCGCCUUUUGAUGAAAGGGACGUGCUUCUGCCUUGGAUAGAGCACAGCGAUGACGGCGCACCUCGAGGGGAGCACACCGGCAAGGGGAUGUCUCUGAUGCGCGUGCGUGCUUGGCUCUCUCUCACAUUCAGCACUGCGCUGCCAACUAUCAGGACCGUGCUCUGCGGCCGGCUGAGCGACUGCACAAACGCAAUGCACCCCGAUGAUGACUGGCGCUAACUCGCCGGUAAGGCCUACAUGAUUCUCACCCUGCUCUCGACUGUGUGCUGAUGCCCGUCUUCCUUGCGGUGCUGGUGUGGUGCCGACAGCACCACGGCCCGUCAGCGCCGCGUCUAGCUGCCCUCCUGGGCUCUUCGCGGUGGGAAAUGCUGAUCGUUGUGUCGCUGCUGCUGCUCUUCUCCUGCGGGCCUUCAGGGGGAGCCCCGCGUGGGGGGUGAGGGAUGCCUUCACAUACAGCGCCGGCGAACUUGCGUGGACUGCGUUAUAGACUGCCUUGGCCGCGCCCAGCUUCUGCGUUGGUAGGUUCAGCGUGCGGUGGGCUGUGGUGGGCAAGCAGCACGCGCAAGGCGUGUAGUGGCCUACGCUCACUUCGCCACUACCUCAACGCAUUUUUGGUCCCCGUUUCGCAGCUCCACGCACUCACUUCUCGCGUGAGACAACCUUGCGCCCCCCCCCCCACCGAGGUUCCUGCCUCCGUUUCUCUGCAUAACUCUACUACCCCCUUCCUCUAAAUGCUGUUUCCAACCGCCCCUCACUGGCUCUCAGCUGUCUCCCCGAUCACGAUCGUACCGCACGGCGCGUGUAUGUGCAUGCGUUGCUGCUGAAGUCGUACUCGUGCUGCGCCCUCGUAUUUCUUCUGUUCCUUUCCCCUCUUUUCCGUAGCUCAUCCCCACCGCUCCCGCCGCCUAGCCUUCUCUCUCUUCUGCAGUAUGCCUGUUAGCGUGCCGCAGUGCUCGCCACUCUCUUC